RNAcentral lists this ribosomal RNA (566 nucleotides) under uncultured bacterium. Its description in RNAcentral is "bacterial SSU rRNA". It matches the Rfam family "Bacterial small subunit ribosomal RNA", at positions 338 to 916 of the family's 1533-position model. The record is from RNAcentral.
CCUACGGGAGGCAGCAGUGGGGAAUAUUGGACAAUGGGCGAAAGCCUGAUCCAGCAACGCCGCGUGAGGGAUGACGGCCUUCGGGUUGUAAACCUCUUUCAGCGGGGACGAAGCGAAAGUGACGGUACCCGCAGAAGAAGGACCGGCCAACUACGUGCCAGCAGCCGCGGUAAUACGUAGGGUCCGAGCGUUGUCCGGAAUUAUUGGGCGUAAAGGGCUCGUAGGCGGUUUGUUACGUCGGGAGUGAAAACUCAGGGCUCAACCCUGAGCGUGCUUCCGAUACGGGCAGACUAGAGGUAUUCAGGGGAGAACGGAAUUCCUGGUGUAGCGGUGGAAUGCGCAGAUAUCAGGAGGAACACCGGUGGCGAAGGCGGUUCUCUGGGAAUUACCUGACGCUGAGGAGCGAAAGCAUGGGGAGCGAACAGGAUUAGAUACCCUGGUAGUCCAUGCCGUAAACGUUGGGCGCUAGGUGUGGGACCCUUCCACGGGUUCCGUGCCGCAGCUAACGCAUUAAGCGCCCCGCCUGGGGAUACGGCCGCAAGGCUAAAACUCAAAGGAAUUGACGG